UCUCUUUGAUGAUAACUUUGUCCAGUUCUGCUACUGAAUGCAAGUGGUGAUGGCAAAGAAACAUGAGA
This is a small nucleolar RNA of Cottoperca gobio, 68 nucleotides long. Lineage: Eukaryota; Metazoa; Chordata; Actinopteri; Perciformes; Bovichtidae. The record is from Ensembl.